CAGAGACCUAUAGUGUUGUUACAGUACUGAUUUUUUAGGAAACCAUGUGAAAAGGAACUUGGCUUUGGUCUUUGGUCCAAGGAGCUUUCUGUUCUCUCGGAGUCUACAAAAUGCUGAGCAAUGAACAUAUGGCUGUUACUAUCAGCACUGGUGUAUUUGCAGCGAUGCCUAUCAACAUCCACCAGAGAGCAGGGCAGCUCCAAAACCCACAUCUUUCAUGCUGUGGAAAUUGAUGGAGACAGCAACACAGCCAGCUUCUUGGCCAAACAACAUGGAAUGCAGUUCAUUUCAAAGAUGUGAAAGGCAGAAGUAGAAUAAGUAAAACAAUUUGUUCAAGAUCCACAUAGGAAGUCUGUGGCCCAGUGAGAAAUGGAAAAUACAUUUCUGAAUUUUCAGUUCCGUGCUCUAGCUGUAACAAAUUAUCCUGAGAGAGAAAAUGUAAAGAGCUUAUGAAGAAGAGGCAACACAUUGUAUGUUCCUCAACAGCCAUUAUGGUCUACCCUAUUCAUGAGAAAGAAUCACUGAAGGGCUCUGAGGAAAACUGCAUCCAGUUUUCUGUUGGAAGAAUAAUGAUGACAGCCUUCCUCGUGUGACACCCUUAGCAUAUAAAUAUUAAAACCAUCACAAGCUGCUAUAAUAAUCAUGCUAAUUGAAAAACAACCAAACACCCAACACUACAACAAAUAAACAAUGAGGCAUUGGACA
Molecule: long non-coding RNA, 705 nt
Filed under: Anser brachyrhynchus (Pink-footed goose)
Lineage: Eukaryota; Metazoa; Chordata; Aves; Anseriformes; Anatidae
Description: lncRNA (ENSABRG00000002826.1)
Source: RNAcentral